GUGGGGAAUAUUGGACAAUGGGGGGAACCCUGAUCCAGCCAUGCCGCGUGUGUGAAGAAGGCCUUUUGGUUGUAAAGCACUUUAAGCGAGGAGGAGGCUACCGAGAUUAAUACUCUUGGAUAGUGGACGUUACUCGCAGAAUAAGCACCGGCUAACUCUGUGCCAGCAGCCGCGGUAAUACAGAGGGUGCAAGCGUUAAUCGGAUUUACUGGGCGUAAAGCGCGCGUAGGUGGCCAAUUAAGUCAAAUGUGAAAUCCCCGAGCUUAACUUGGGAAUGUCAUUCGAUACUGGUUGGCUAGAGUAUGGGAGAGGAUGGUAGAAUUCCAGGUGUAGCGGUGAAAUACGUAGAGAUCUGGAGGAAUACCGAUGGCGAAGGCAGCCAUCUGGCCUAAUACUGACACUGAGGUGCGAAAGCAUGGGGAGCAAACAGGAUUAGAAACCCCUGUAGUCC
Molecule: ribosomal RNA, 451 nt
Filed under: uncultured bacterium
Lineage: Bacteria
Description: bacterial SSU rRNA
Rfam family: Bacterial small subunit ribosomal RNA
Source: RNAcentral